This is a long non-coding RNA of Choloepus didactylus (southern two-toed sloth), 366 nucleotides long. RefSeq lists it as uncharacterized. Lineage: Eukaryota; Metazoa; Chordata; Mammalia; Pilosa; Megalonychidae. The transcript is spliced from 4 exons. The record is from RefSeq and is a predicted model, not a curated record.
GCUCUCACCUGUUCAGAAGGGAAUCAGAGCUCAAUGGGGCUAGAACAGAAGCUCUGGAGGGAUUCAACCGUGCUUCGGGGCUGAGGACACUAAUGAGUCACCAGGACACUGUCGGAAUUGUCCUGGAGUGAAACCCAGGAGUUCUGCACCCACUGCUCAAGGAGGGAAUAUUUUGUUCCAGGCAGGCAUCGUCCACUAGCUGCUGCCCAGAACAGAUGUCAGGAAGAAAACAGCUAAGUGAGUCCUUUAUAAGAAGCUGAGAGAGAGGGGCUCACACAGAAGCUAACAGAGAAGGACAUGAAGAGAAGCUCAGAAAGAAAGUCACAGAUGGAGCAGCCAGAAGCUGAAAGCAACAAAACCCAGGAG